UGGGGGAUAUUGCACAAUGGGCGAAAGCCUGAUGCAGCGACGCCGCGUGGGGGAUGAAGGCCUUCGGGUUGUAAACUUCUUUUGCUCUGAACAAGGCAUGCUUUUGGGGUGUGUUGAGUGUAGGGGUUGAUUAGCGCCGGCUAACUACGUGCCAGCAGCCGCGGUAAUACGUAGGGCGCGAGCGUUGUCCGGAAUUAUUGGGCGUAAAGGGCUUGUAGGUGGCUGGUUGCGUCUGUCGUGAAAGCUCAUGGCUUAACUGUGGGUUUGCGGUGGGUACGGGCUGGCUUGAGUGCAGUAGGGGAGGCUGGAAUUCCUGGUGUAGCGGUGGAAUGCGCAGAUAUCAGGAGGAAUACCAGUGGCGAAGGCGGGUCUCUGGGCUGUUACUGACGCUGAGGAGCGAAAGCGUGGGGAGCGAACAGG
This 420-nucleotide ribosomal RNA is filed under the name Fusobacteriota bacterium. RNAcentral's name for it is "Fusobacteria bacterium partial 16S ribosomal RNA". It matches the Rfam family "Bacterial small subunit ribosomal RNA", at positions 355 to 776 of the family's 1533-position model. Lineage: Bacteria; Fusobacteriati; Fusobacteriota. The record is from RNAcentral.